GUUGUUUAAUUCGAAGCAACGCGAAGAACCUUACCAGGUCUUGACAUCCCCUGACAACCCAAGAGAUUCGGGCGUUCCCCUUCGGGGGACGAGGGUGACAGGUGGUGCAUGGUGUCGUCAGCUCGUGUCGUGAGAUGUUGGGUUAAGUCCCGCAACGAGCGCAACCCUCGCUGUGUGUUAUAUGUGUCACACGGGACUGCCGGUCUUAAGCCGGAGGAAGGUGGGGAUGAUGUCAAGUCAGCAUGGCCUUUAUAUCCUGGGCUACACACACGCUACAAUGGCCAACACAAUAGGUUGCUAAGCCGCGAGGUGGCGCCAAUCCAUAAAGUUGGUCUCAGUUCAGAUUGUAGGCUGCAACCCGCCUGCAUGAAGAUGGAGUUGCUAGUAACCGCAGGUCAGCUAUACUGCGGUGAAUACGUUUCCGGGGCUU
RNAcentral lists this ribosomal RNA (430 nucleotides) under uncultured Leptolinea sp. RNAcentral describes it as "bacterial SSU rRNA". It matches the Rfam family "Bacterial small subunit ribosomal RNA", at positions 941 to 1382 of the family's 1533-position model. The record is from RNAcentral. Lineage: Bacteria; Bacillati; Chloroflexota; Anaerolineae; Anaerolineales; Anaerolineaceae.